UCCGAUAUGGUGUAACGGCUAACAUUACCGCCUUUCAGCGGCUUACGUAAUCGCAGGUUCGCGGUAGCUCGGGGUUCGAUUCCCCGUAUCGGAG
Non-coding RNA from Gelatoporia subvermispora B, 94 nucleotides. NCBI's taxonomy places the organism in Eukaryota, Fungi, Basidiomycota, Agaricomycetes, Polyporales, Gelatoporiaceae. The record is from the annotation of a GenBank genome assembly.